Molecule: ribosomal RNA, 460 nt
Filed under: uncultured bacterium
Lineage: Bacteria
Description: partial 16S ribosomal RNA
Rfam family: Bacterial small subunit ribosomal RNA
Source: RNAcentral
CCUACGGGCGGCAGCAGUGAGGAAUAUUGGUCAAUGGGCGCGAGCCUGAACCAGCCAAGUAGCGUGAAGGAUGACUGCCCUACGGGGUGUAAACUUCUUUUAUAAAGGAAUAAAGUGAGGCACGGGUGCCUUUUUGUAUGUACUUUAUGAAUAAGGAUCGGCUAACUCCGUGCCAGCAGCCGCGGUAAUACGGAGGAUCCGAGCGUUAUCCGGAUGUCGUGGGUUUAAAGGGAGCGUAGAUGGGUUGUUAAGUCAGUUGUGAAAGUUUGCGGAUCAACCGUAAAAUUGCAAUUGAUACUGGCAGCCUUUAGUUCAGUUGAGGUAGGCGGAAUUCGUGGUGUAGCGGUGAAAUGCUUAGAUAUCACGAAGAACUCAGAUUGCGAAGGCAGCCUACUAAACUGCCACUGACAUUGAUGCUCGAAAGUGUGGGUAUCAAACAGGAUUAGAUACCCGAGUAGUC